RNAcentral lists this ribosomal RNA (216 nucleotides) under uncultured bacterium. RNAcentral describes it as "partial 16S ribosomal RNA". It matches the Rfam family "Bacterial small subunit ribosomal RNA", at positions 524 to 732 of the family's 1533-position model. The record is from RNAcentral.
UACGAAGGGGGGCUAGCGUUGUUCGGAAUUACUGGGCGUAAAGCGCACGUAGGCGGAUUGUUAAGUCAGGGGUGAAACGUCCUGGAGCUCAACUCCAGAACUGCCUUUGAUACUGAGGAUCUUGAGUUCGGGAGAGGUGAGUGGAACUGCGAGUGUAGAGGUGAAAUUCGUAGAUAUUCGCAAGAACGACCAGUGGCGGAAGGCGAGCUCGACCUG